GAUCAAGUUCUCCUAACCCGAAGCUUGCUCCUAGGAUUCUUUAGUAAUUCGACUUCUAAAUUCUAGUAAGUUCUUGUUUUAUUGUUCUUAUGGUUUAUGAGUUUACUUUAAUCUCUUCGCGUAGAGUUUAGAGUAAUCAUUGCUGGCGUAAACGUGGUGUUUAGGCUGGGGUACUCAUAGAUAUUCCCUGACUAGCUGGACCGUGGUAGUAGUGAGGAACGUGACAAUUCCGAGCUACCUUUGUAGAUCACAUCUCGUUAGCAGGAAGGAUAGGGUUUAUAGGUGCGAGUUGAACAUCCUUUGUGGUGUCUAGAUUCCGUUAGCCUCCCCAUUAGAACAGUAGAUCAUCCUUACCAAGGUUAGAAGGAGACUACGGUUGCAGUCUUCUCUAUUUAUCACUCACAUCGAAAGACAUUCUUUGUGCCUAAAGGUUAGUAGUAAUAGACCGGUUAGUCAGAUGCACUCUUUCUCCUAGUGGUAAAAAAAUAAAUACGAUACUCUGGAUAAUUUCCCGGGUGAAGUGCUCACCGAUAUCCGUGCGCUUGCGGAUCAAUUCCUUAUUGCGUUCCCAAAUAUCAACAAUAAGAAAAUAUAAAAAUACCAAAAAUAUAUGGGCACAUGAAGGUCCAUAUCUUUAGAGUCUUCUGAGUCCAAUAGAAAUAAAUAAAAACCAAGCAAAAUACAUAUUUAUAUAUUAAGGUGUGAUCAUAGUGUGUGUCUACAGUCAGUCUAGUUUAGAGUCAAAUAAAAUUUAGAGAAUAUUAAAAUAAUUUUGUCUUGGAGAUGAUGAAUAGUUGCUCUAUCGUAAUUCCUUUUAAGUGCCUAGUUUUCAACCAUAAAUUCUCUUGAGUUUUAGGCAUGACCACUUUAAUAUAGGAAUUUACUCUGAACCUAAAAUUUGUAGAGGCGUAUGUUUAAGCUGAGUCUAGGUAAUUGAUUGAUUCUAUAAAUGAAGAUCUAAGCUGCUAUUUAUCUUAUUCCCAAGCGUUACUAAGUUUUGGAGAUUUAUUUUCAAAAACCCAAAAUCUUACAUGAUGAGCUCUUGUAUGAUAAAGUUUAAAUUCCUACCAAAGGUAUAUGUGAUACAUUUAGAGUUAGGAAAACCUUUGUGCAUUCAUGCUGCUUGCUUUACAUUGAGUUUAGUCAACCUUUGGAGUAUACCUUAUGAGAGUCUUGUCAUGCUUUUAAAAUUAAGAUCACUUACGCACUCCACCUACAUAUGCAUUGCUCCUACUCUGAGGGUAAGUGCAAUUAUUUUCUAUUUUCAUACAGAUCCACCUUAAAAAUCUUUUCUCCAACACUAGGAGUAAACACCCAAAAAUAUACUCUAUAGGACAGCCCCCAUUUAAUUGCUCUAAGUUCUUAUCAUUAUCUCUCCGAUUAUUUAUAUUCACAGGAUGCAUGUGGCUAUGCAAAAACAUUUAAAAAAGAAAAGAGAAAAAAAAUAAAAAAAGAGGGAUGUUGACGGUCCUUAAGUAUCAAAUUUAAUUAUCAAAUAAAUAAAGAAAAGGAUCCAAAUGAAAUCAAGAUCUAGACUUAGGGUUUUAUCUGACAGAAUUCCACGAGUUUUGGUGUUUGUCUAUUUCUGCAGGGGGUGUUGACACCGUUUUUGGGCACGUGUCUAGGAUGGCAGGAUAAGGUGGCAGUACGAUGUUUACAAAGUGGGUUGCCGAUGAGGAUGGUUGCCGAUGAGGGAGAAGUUGAACGUGACUAAGUCCACAGGCAGUAAUAUGGUGCCGAUGGCUAGAUAAGAAAGUCUGUCGAUGACUAUGGCAAAGGGUCUGCCGAUGAUGCAAAGAGGGAGUCCGGAAGCUGCCGGUCGUUAUGUGGAGGAGUUUCGGUUUGUCACGAGGGAUAGUUUUGUUAUUUCUUUAAUUAUUUGCAUCGUUUUGUAUACGGAUUCCGUGUAAUUUGGAAUUCGAAUUCUAAUCGUGUCUGGUUGUAGCUCUUUGAGCAGGGUAUAAAUAUAGACCCU
RNAcentral lists this long non-coding RNA (1975 nucleotides) under Sorghum bicolor (sorghum). RNAcentral describes it as "long non-coding RNA (SBIC_LNC003270)". The record is from RNAcentral. Lineage: Eukaryota; Viridiplantae; Streptophyta; Magnoliopsida; Poales; Poaceae.